Long non-coding RNA from Cottoperca gobio, 513 nucleotides. RefSeq lists it as uncharacterized. NCBI's taxonomy places the organism in Eukaryota, Metazoa, Chordata, Actinopteri, Perciformes, Bovichtidae. The record is from RefSeq and is a predicted model, not a curated record. The transcript has 3 exons.
AGUAGGAGUAGGAGUAGGAGUAGUAGGAGUAGUAGUAGGAGUAGGAGGAGUAGUAGGAGUAGGAGUAGAAGUAGGACCUCUAACCCAUAGUGUAAUUACUUCUCAUUUAGUUAUGUUAUUUAUGAAUCGUGAGUAGUUUGAGGACUACCUCGUCUGGGGAAAUGUUAUGGACAGGGAUGCCGUUGACCUCCAGAACUCGGUCUCCAGUGUGGACAGAGGACAGCAGGUCAGGGCUGUGGGCAGCUGAGUCUAACCUGAGGGAGAAAGACAAUGAGUGAAUAAGUGGAGAGACUCACCCUGUCACGGUGACAAGAGGGCCUUUCUCUUGGCUGAGGUCAGUGGCUACAGUCAGGCCUCGUCGGCCUCCUGCAUGGGGAGGGAGAGACACCAGCGCCACCGUGUGGGAACUCUUGUGCUCCACCUAAACUGACCUGGUAAGCCGCCCGCACCUCCUCCUACUCCCUGACCUGUUCCUAACGGACCUCCUGUUCCUCCUGCAUUACCUGGACAGGC